Molecule: ribosomal RNA, 166 nt
Filed under: uncultured bacterium
Lineage: Bacteria
Description: partial 16S rRNA
Rfam family: Bacterial small subunit ribosomal RNA
Source: RNAcentral
UAGGGAAUCUUCGGCAAUGGGGGCAAACCCUGACCGAGCAACGCCGCGUGAGUGAAGAAGAUUUUCGGAUCGUAAAGCUCUGUUGUAAGAGAAGAACGUGUGUGAGAGUGGAAAGUUCACACAGUGACGGUAACUUACCAGAAAGGGACGGCUAACUACGUGCCAG